This 502-nucleotide long non-coding RNA is filed under the name Numida meleagris (helmeted guineafowl). RNAcentral describes it as "lncRNA (ENSNMEG00000009732.1)". Lineage: Eukaryota; Metazoa; Chordata; Aves; Galliformes; Numididae. The record is from RNAcentral.
GGCCCGCGGCCGUCCCCGGGCAGCACCCCCGGAGCACCCCCCGCCCGGCAGCCUCCACCGAGCGACAGCAACGCCUCCGACCCGCCACCCAUCGCUGGAUGUCCCUCCACUUUUCCCACCGUAUCAAACAACUUUUACCAGUAAAUAUCGGUUUAUUCCUGAAACCAGAAGCCCUAAACAUACCUUUGUUUAUAAGUUUUCCUGCUCUGCAACUCUGGAAAUGGAGCCUGCAGGACCUAGAGCCUUCUCUUGCCUGUGUGGUUCUGAUUGCUGGCAGUUCUCUAAUACAACUUUAAUCUGAGCAGUUGAGGCUGGUCCCACCUUGUCUUCAGACGUCUUGCGGAGGACUCCUGUUACCAGUUUGGUACUCAAAAGCUACACCCCACCAUGAGAAGUCACUUAUUUUUUAAAAGGCAGUGAUAGAUUACUGUCUCUAGUUCUAAUGGAAAAAUCACAUUGCAAUGCAACUUUAUAAUAAAUUGUUCAUAUAUUCAUAAUUCCA